This 29-nucleotide non-coding RNA is filed under the name Rattus norvegicus (Norway rat). The record is from RNAcentral. Lineage: Eukaryota; Metazoa; Chordata; Mammalia; Rodentia; Muridae.
UGCCAUGGAGAGAAGCUCACCAGUGCUCC